RNAcentral lists this ribosomal RNA (1363 nucleotides) under Salegentibacter mishustinae. Its description in RNAcentral is "bacterial SSU rRNA". It matches the Rfam family "Bacterial small subunit ribosomal RNA", at positions 62 to 1418 of the family's 1533-position model. The record is from RNAcentral. Lineage: Bacteria; Pseudomonadati; Bacteroidota; Flavobacteriia; Flavobacteriales; Flavobacteriaceae.
UCGAGGGGNAACAUAGGAAAGCUUGCUUUUCUGAUGACGACCGGCGCACGGGUGCGUAACGCGUAUACAACCUACCUUUUAGCGGGGAAUAGCCCAGGGAAACUUGGAUUAAUGCCCCAUAGUAUGGAGAUCUCUCCUGAGAUUUUCAUUAAACAUUUAUGGCUAUUAGAUGGGUAUGCGUCCNAUUAGUUAGUUGGUAAGGUAACGGCUUACCAAGGCAGCGAUAGGUAGGGGUCCUGAGAGGGAGAUCCCCCACACUGGUACUGAGACACGGACCAGACUCCUACGGGAGGCAGCAGUGAGGAAUAUUGGACAAUGGGCGAGAGCCUGAUCCAGCCAUGCCGCGUGCAGGAAGACUGCCCUAUGGGUUGUAAACUGCUUUUACAGAGGAAGAACCACCCCCACGUGUGGGGGUUUGACGGUACUCUGCGAAUAAGGAUCGGCUAACUCCGUGCCAGCAGCCGCGGUAAUACGGAGGAUCCAAGCGUUAUCCGGAAUCAUUGGGUUUAAAGGGUCCGUAGGCGGGCAGUUAAGUCAGUGGUGAAAGUCUUCCGCUCAACGGGAGAACUGCCAUUGAUACUGAUUGUCUUGAGUUAUUAUGAAGUGGUUAGAAUGAGUAGUGUAGCGGUGAAAUGCAUAGAUAUUACUCAGAAUACCGAUUGCGAAGGCAGAUCACUAAUAAUAUACUGACGCUGAUGGACGAAAGCGUAGGUAGCGAACAGGAUUAGAUACCCUGGUAGUCUACGCCGUAAACGAUGGUUACUAGCUGUUCGGCCCAAUUGAGGGCUGAGUGGUUAAGCGAAAGUGAUAAGUAACCCACCUGGGGAGUACGUUCGCAAGAAUGAAACUCAAAGGAAUUGACGGGGGCCCGCACAAGCGGUGGAGCAUGUGGUUUAAUUCGAUGAUACGCGAGGAACCUUACCAGGGCUUAAAUGUAGUCUGACAGGGGUGGAAACACCCUUUUCUUCGGACAGAUUACAAGGUGCUGCAUGGUUGUCGUCAGCUCGUGCCGUGAGGUGUCAGGUUAAGUCCUAUAACGAGCGCAACCCCUGUGGUUAGUUGCCAGCGAGUAAUGUCGGGAACUCUAGCCAGACUGCCGGUGCAAACCGCGAGGAAGGUGGGGAUGACGUCAAAUCAUCACGGCCCUUACGUCCUGGGCCACACACGUGCUACAAUGGUAGGGACAGAGAGCAGCCACUUCGCGAGAAGGAGCGAAUCUACAAACCCUAUCACAGUUCGGAUCGCAGUCUGCAACUCGACUGCGUGAAGCUGGAAUCGCUAGUAAUCGCAUAUCAGCCAUGAUGCGGUGAAUACGUUCCCGGGCCUUGUACACACCGCCCGUCAAGCCANGGAAGCCGGGGGU